Molecule: non-coding RNA, 86 nt
Filed under: Bacillus sp. (in: firmicutes)
Lineage: Bacteria; Bacillati; Bacillota; Bacilli; Caryophanales; Bacillaceae
Also listed under: 1 other name
Description: Bacillus sp. c-di-GMP sequence
Rfam family: c-di-GMP-I riboswitch aptamer
About the family: GEMM was predicted in a large-scale screen for bacterial structured RNA regulatory elements. Genes associated with GEMM are involved in a diverse array of functions, including chemotaxis regulation, signal transduction, secretion and chitin.
Source: RNAcentral
CUUUAUUAAGGGCAAAUUUUACGAAAGUAAAAGACGCAAAGCUACGGGCCUAAAACAUUUAUUGUCAUGGUAGCCGGGUUGCCAAG